This is a long non-coding RNA of Herpailurus yagouaroundi (jaguarundi), 1976 nucleotides long. RefSeq lists it as uncharacterized. The transcript has 3 exons. NCBI's taxonomy places the organism in Eukaryota, Metazoa, Chordata, Mammalia, Carnivora, Felidae. The record is from RefSeq and is a predicted model, not a curated record.
GUUUUCUAUAUGUGGGAGAAGACACGUGCUCCUCUCCCCUGCCCCAAACUACAAAACCGCCUUUCCAGUCCUUUCUGUCCCCAAGACUCACGAGUGUCUCAUUGCCGAUCCCCUCCCCUUUCCCUCUUUCUCCAGCCCGCACCCUCCACCCCCGGCCCAUCACAUGCCUUCUCCAACUCGGGGGCUUGUCAGCCAGAUCUCAGGGUUGUCCCCAACUCCCUCCUUUUUCACUUUGCAUGUCCUUCCGGUUUCCUGACGCUGGCAGUCCUCUGUCACAGUGCCCUCCUGGGGUCUUGUUGCACCGUCCCCCCGAUGUCAAACCUGCCUGAUCUUCCUAAUGCACCACUGCAGUCAUGUCAUAGCGAUUUUCACCCUAAUGACAUCCUCACAGUCAGUCCGCUCAGCCCAGCUCGUUUUGUUAGCUCAGUUUCCUAGUAUUUCACAGGUGAGUUCAAAUAAAUCGCUCCCUCUCCGUCUUACGAACUUGCCUCUGCUCCCCCACCUCCCCAGCUUUGCUCGAAUCUUCCCUCCGCUGGGAAGACCCCCUCUCGUACCCACUCGGUGAAAUCCUAACCAUUUUCCCUAGACAUCAGUGCUGUUGGCUGGUUUUGAUUUUCCUCUACUGAGCACCAGAAUGUCACCUUCCGCCCCUGUGAUGUCAGGCAUGGCCACAUGACUAGUUCCGGGUAACGAGACGGUGCGGAAGCAGGGUGUCGCUUCCGGGUGGAAGUGUUUAAGAGCCGGUGAGUGACCGGUCAGCUCUGUCUUCCUUGGCUGCAGUGCCUGUGCAGGAGCGGGGGAGCCGCGACACGGAGCAGCCCAGUCUCAGCCACGACCAGCCCUGCAGGGCCACCGGGCCCCACGGUGCAACAGCGUCGGGAUCCUGGCUCCUUCUCGUUCUUCCCCGUCUGUUCCCUUCCCAGGCCACUGCCGCGCUUGUUUGCAGGAAAUAGAAGACUCAACUGUGACCAGCUAAUGAAAAGAAAAUGAAAAAUCACUCUCACUGCAAGAUAAAAAUUGGCUUCUGAGGUUCGACCUGCUAUGGGACUCUGACACAAUAUUAAUGAUGAUGCAUUAUUUUUCAAUAACAAAUUCUGCCCCGAGCCUCAGUAAUACUGUCGUAUUCUCUUCUGUUUCCAGUUUCUAUUUGAAGAGAGGGCAGCAUCCCUUAACUUUUAUAUCUUCUUCCUCACCUCCUGGAUGUCUGCCAAUAUUAGAUAUUGAUCACACACUGUAACAUCACUACCCCUACCAGGGUUUAUGGCGUUUAAAAAUUCUUACCAGACCUUCUUGUAAAAAUUUCACAGGGAGAUCACGAAAUAUUAAGCCACAUGAAACAGCACUUCUUUUUGUCAAAACAUUUCAUUGUAACUUCUGUUUAAGGAAAGCACCCCAACCACCAAAUUCUCCUCAAUGUUAGUUUCCUUAAAAAACGACUUUCCGGUGUGCUUCUGGAGGUUUCCUUGCAAGCCCCACCCCCGAAGAUGGGUGCUUGGACGGGCGUUUUGGUUUAUUGGUGAAGAGUUGAGCUUCCUGUUCAGUCUGUGACCAAUUUCCCCCCGUACCUGUUUACAUUUACGAUGGUUACGGCUUAAACAAUAGAACAUGAUGUAAAGAAUAUUUGUUAGCUAAGCAGAGGGGCUUCAUGGGCUGUCUGGCCGUAACGGAUGAGACGUGUCUGAUGGGGGCGGGCUGGAGCGACUUACACAUCUGCCCUGACUUGAGGUCCUGUAUAAACGUCGCGAACUUUCCGAAGGCCUCGUUGCCGGUGGAGGAAGUUCCGAGGGGCGUGCAGUCCUCCUGUUACCGCUUCUGUGGCUCCACUCGGGCUGGCCGCCUGGUUAUGUCCUGCACCCUCCCGACAGUGUCCUCCCCCGUAACAUGGGGCUGUCAGCCCCUGCUGGCUAAUGACAGCGUGAGGACAAGCAGAAGGCCAGCACUUGGCAGCCACCGAGGCUUUGUUUUCUGCCCCCUCC